Long non-coding RNA from Mustela erminea (ermine), 2318 nucleotides. RefSeq lists it as uncharacterized. Lineage: Eukaryota; Metazoa; Chordata; Mammalia; Carnivora; Mustelidae. The record is from RefSeq and is a predicted model, not a curated record. The transcript is spliced from 3 exons.
CUUCCCCUGCCAGGAGGACAAAGGGGUUCCUCUGCAGACUUUGCCACAGGGACUUCUUCGUGUUUUUGAAAGUUGGGGGCCUCCACGGAUUUUUCAGUUCCACGCCAGCUCACAGCCAGUCUCCUCUGACUCCAUUAGCCAUGUAGGUGUUCCUGCCAGCCUCGGCCUCCAGUGGCAGCAUCUGCUCCCUGUUUGGUAGGACUCCCUGUAUCCCCUUGUCCUUGGUUUAGCUGUUGUUGUCUGUCUGUCUGUCUGUUCAUGUUUGCAUAGCACUUUGCCUUCUAUCCACUGGUUGAUCUAACAAGAUUUGUUGUUUUCCAACAACAAAUGUUUUUUGAAUGUUUUUCUUGUUGUGAGAAUGACAGUGAUGUCUCCAAGCUCACGCUGGAGUGGGGGGAGGCGGUCAUGCCAGACAGUUCCACUCCCUGACGUACUAAGGUAAACCUAUGGCAAAACUGUAAGUGUUACAUUGAUUAUACACAUAAGUGAAUUUUAAAUAACAGGUUUUUUUUUUUUAAUGUAAUAUCUAAACUUCAAGUUGUUUCUUCUCUUACACAUGCUGUGUUGGGUGAAGCGCAGUGGAGUUGGACCUCUCUUUCUCUGUCUUUAUGUGAUUCCUUCUAGAACUGCAGAGAUGGGACGCCGGCAGGGCCGUGUUCCAGGCUUCCCCGCAGCGAGGUGCUGUGUGGGAUUUAGACUCAGCCAAUAAGAUGCAUUUCUUCCACUGGGAGAAGAAAGUGAAACCACAUUUCUACAGAUUUUGUGUUUCUGCUAUGUCAAGGCACAGGACACAUGUUCUGCAGGGACAGACGGUGCCGGAUCCAGCCGGGACGCCAGAGGGUCAGAACGACGUGGCCCGGAUUGCCACGAAGCAGUGGGAUUGGAGCAGCUGCCUCCUGGCUGUGGAAAGUGUAGCCGUUCCUGCAGCGGUACGGUUCUUGGAAUCCCGAAUGUUCCACCUGUGGCGCUAAUACGCAACUGGACGGCAGACAGUCGCCCCGACCUAGCGGCGCUGGGAAGUCGUCAGCACCCGCCCUCCAGGUAGGAGCUGUGCUCUCCAGGAGUGAGUUCAGGACGUGACUGUUGGGCAAACGUCCCAUUCCGUCCCCUGCAGAGACGGUUGAGAACUUCCUCUCCUCUAACGUCUGUCUCUCCAGCUCUCCCACCUUCCGGUCAAGUGAGUACGUACAGCACGACACGUGUCCAGGGAGGCCCUCGCACUGAGAGCCAGCGUGUUCCCACGACGGCAUGUCUGUCAGGGAUCGGUACUGUCACUGCGUUUCCUGUCAUUUCCCUCCUGUGUGGCUUACGGAUGACGUCACAAAGUCCCCUUAAGCAGCAGCUACAAGAUGACUUCAGUGCAGACACACAGUUCCAGGCAUAAACCAGAGUCAUGGAAUCUGGCCAUUGGCCGCACCACAGAUGGUCUUACUGGCUCUGUUUUGUUGCUUUGGUACUUCCUGGUGCCUGGGGCUUCGUCACUCUCUUUCAGGGGCUUGGUUGUCAAUUUAUGUGCCGCGUCUUUAACGAAUACUGACCUAUUAGCCCUAAAAGCAUUGAAGGAACAUUUAGAAAUAAAAUAAAGACAUAAGGGGUUGACUACUUAAUCAAGUUUUAUACCUUCGCAAGCCAAUGAAGGAAAUUCUUCUGUGUGAUGUAGGGUUAAGAGAGUAAACGCUUCCGAUCCCUUUCCAAAGUGUGUUCAGAGAGUAGCUGCUUAUUCUAAUGAAUAACACAAUGUCCUCAGUUGUCACCAGUGGUCCUGAAAACACUAAGCAUCAGUGACCUUUAUAACAGGCCUGGGGAGUUUUGGAUAUGUGACAAGUGUUUUCCAAAACAGUGUGUCUAGGACGGGACUCCUUUGCUUGGCAUACAAUGUGUAGAAUAAAAGGACUUCAGCAUCUGUCCCUUAACUACAUUCCCAGUAGCCAUUCUUGACUUUAUUUUACUCCAACCUUAAUGAAAACCGGAUUGACUUAUAAGCGCUUUGCUCCCCUGUAUCAUCACACGGACGAUUCCUGCUCCUUGAGCUACUUUCCCCUGCUUGGCCGUAUGGAACAUUCCACAAGGCUCCAGUUCCAGCUCAGGUGUUACCCACGUGGGUCGGCUCCAGAACUUUUAUCUAUAUAGACGGCAGCUCUACGUUGGGAGCCUGGGGGCUGUUGAACACACGUCUGGGGAGGACACAAGGAGAGGGUUGGCAGACGACAGGCGGCCUGUAUCGUCUGGGAGCCGUCUCGGGUUCCACCAGGCAAGUCACGGUCUCCCGUGACCACAUGAUUCCUUAUUCUUGUACUUCUACAGUAAAAAAAAUUGUA